Molecule: long non-coding RNA, 758 nt
Filed under: Physcomitrium patens
Lineage: Eukaryota; Viridiplantae; Streptophyta; Bryopsida; Funariales; Funariaceae
Description: long non-coding RNA (PPAT_LNC013605)
Source: RNAcentral
UGAGAUAGGGUCGAAAUCAGACCUCUAGCCACUAAAAUGAUGGCCUAGGGCAAAAUAGGGUUUUAUUCGAAGAUUGGAGGUUAGAAUUUGAGAGCUUGCUUGAAGUUCUUUUCAAAGAAAAAAGGAUUGUUUUGAGAGGAUUUUAGAGGACUUAGCAAUUGUUGUUCAAAGUCAGGAUUUAUAUCAAUGAUUUGGGUUUUAUAUAAUAUAAUUAGGGCUAGCAAUUUUAGCUAGUUCGUGCAAUUGGCAUGACAUCUAUAGUUGAAAAUUUGAUAUUGUUUGGAUUAUUAGGUGUACUAAUUGUAUACAAAAUUUUGUUAUAAUCUAAUGGCGUGGUUUAGAGAUAUCUAGUUUUUAGCACAAGAAGGUUUCAGAAGAUGACAGUUUGAGGUUGGGUAGGGUUUCUAUGAUAUUUAAAGAUCUAUUAGUUGAAUUAAGUUGAAAAUUGGCAUGGUGUUGGAAGACUUAAAGAUCUAGCUACACAUCAAUUUUGAAACUAAGUUAACGGUUUGAAAAGGAAAAAUCCUUGGUGGAAUUUCUGCUUCACUUUUUAAGUUGGUGGCCGAGUGAUAUUGGUACAAUUUUUGGAUGUUUUCUCACAAUUUGUAAGUUGAAUUGGGCUAAAAAUUCUUGAGCAUUUAGAAGACUUGCAUUGACAAUUUUAUGCAAAAUUCCACAUCAAGUGGACCGUCGGAUUGGAUGUUACAGCUUGUUAAAGCUCACUAAUUAGGAUUGGGGUUUACAAGAAAAAUCUCAAU